Quercus robur (English oak) is the source of this 4565-nucleotide long non-coding RNA. RefSeq lists it as uncharacterized. The transcript has 2 exons. The record is from RefSeq and is a predicted model, not a curated record. Lineage: Eukaryota; Viridiplantae; Streptophyta; Magnoliopsida; Fagales; Fagaceae.
UUUUAUAUUUUUUGCCUCACCCUCACACACAUUGACCAAAAUUUUACUCCCUAAAAAAAAAAAAAAAAAAAAAAAAAAACACCGUUUCAGACUUUCAGUGGGUAAGUUCUUUAACUGUCUCUUUAUAUAUUCUCAAUUUCACUUCAAUUGUGCCUUUGCUUUUGUUUUUCCCUUUCAGUCCACCGUUAAGCACAGAACCUCUACCCUCUACCCUUCUCUCAAACACAGACCCAAGUUAUUUCGCAGAAAGCUUGCAAGGGCAUGACUAUGGGUUCCAACGUUUUCAAUCUCCAACCCGGCCUCCAUAUCAGACCGUUCUCUCUCGGUUUUUCUCAGGAAAAUCUUACAAUUCAAUUGCUUCCUUCUCUACCAGAUCGCUUGCUAUUAGGUACGUUUCUUCUCCUCCUCCUCUUAUAUCUGAAUUUAUUUAUUUAUUUAGUUUUGUUUUACCACUGAUUCAAGAUCAGGUAUUAUGUUUAAGGAUCUCUUGCUUCUAUUUUUUUUCCCUUUUUGAUUGAUUUCACAUAGUCCCAAAAAACUUCCCACAAAAUCCCCUAAGCAGAAGUCAAGGGCUGUCUUUUUCUAGUGGGUAUGUGUUUCUUAUUUGAAUAUAAAUUGUGGGAAUUAUUGUUGGUUGAAGAUUGGUCAUAAGCAUUGGUUUCUAGGAUCAUUUAUGAGAAACCCAAAUAGAUUUUUUGUUGUGUUUUGUUUGAUUCUUUGUUUUGUUUGAUUUGUGUUGAGUUAAGGAAUUGUUUUAGUUUCCCUAUUAAUGCUUUGGGAUAUCAUAUAAACUUCAAUUUCUUUUUUUUUGGCCUAUGAAUAUUGAUACAGGAAAAAACUGCCAAUUAAUGAGGAAAAACAAGGCAAAGGUGAUGUAGUAAGAACAUGUGGGUGUGGUCGUAACAAAAUGUUUGCUCUACUCUUUGCCCUCUUCUACUACACUCCAAUAUCUAACCCAAGUAUAGUUUUUUUGUUAUCUUUUUUGUUACCUGAUUUGUUUUUAAAAAAAUUUCCGGAAGUAGUUUAGGUAGUCUAAUGUUGGUUCCUUAAAUUUUACUUGAUGUAUCAAUAUGUUUUUGAAUUGUGAAUUCCAUUAUUCUAAAUAUGUCUUAGAUACUGGAAAUUAUGGUUCCCUCAAUUUUCAACACCUGAAGAUUAACCAAGUGCUAUUUCUCGGUUAUAUCUGCUAGGAGUUCAACAUAAUGCCUCUAAGAGCAGCUGGUAUUACUUGGCAUUUUUGCAUCUACGUAAGUUAAAAGUCUGUACAUGUGUUGGGAUAAUAGUGUAGAUGAACUGUCAUAAACUAUCUGAUGAUUACCCACUAAAUUCUAUAUUUAUGUUUAAUAUCUUAGACGUUGUUACAUUCUGCUUUAUGCAGAUUAGGGAUGUGCUGACUUGGGUUUGAAUGUUGGAAAUUUAAUUGUUUGGACUAUUUGAUGUGCUUAUUCCCACUCCUUUUGAUUUAUGUUAGGAUUGUGCAUUUUUGGUUUUAUGCUAUUUUUUAAUGUUGAAAUUUUCUUUAUAAAUAGAUAUAAAUCAUGUCAGAUGUCAAAACUCAUGUGCACAUUAGUCCUCAAACCUCAGUUGGUUGCAGCUUAACUGUAAUGAGGUGGUGGCAAGUCAGUUGGUUUACAUGGUUUUUCUGCAAUUGAUAGAUGAUAGAUCAUGACCCAAUUUGCAUAUAAGCAUGCAACAAUAGACUUUAGGAUUUCACCUGAGGCAGUUCAGUUUAUUAAUAUAGCACUUCAUUGCAACAUAUUUGGAUUUAGAAAAACGCAAGGGUGUUUAGUGGCAAAGUAUUAUAAGAGGAGGCUAUGCUGUAUUUGUUCAAUUGUAACGUGUUUAGUUUGUCAUGGGCAUAAUUUUUGGGUGAAUUCAUGUUAUAGUCUCUUUAAUACUAUUUUGUCAAAAAGUUUUUCUCUUUCCAAGUUUUUGUUUUCUUUUCAUAUUAAGUCAUGUUUUCUCUUUAUAAUGUUAGGUAUAAAGAAAAAGGCAAGUUAAAUUCUAUCACAAGUCUCUAAUAUGCCAAUAGACCUUCGCAUCGCUAUGCUUUUUGUUGUUGCUCUUUGGAAUCAUCAUUUAACUUUGCCUUGACGUAAAAAAUUACAUUACAUCAUACAAAAAUACAAUUCAUCUGUAAAUCAGUUUGUGUAAUUUUAGGUUAUUUAUGAUGGAUAAGAUUUAAAACUGUAGCGGUCAUUGAUUUGGGCAUAGAACAGAGCCUUGAAGUUGAGUAGUUAUUAUAUAUCUUCAAUUAGGUUUUUUUGUGUGAGUGUGUGUGUGUGUGUGUGUGUUUGAAAGGCCUAAGAGUUGGCCUGGUGAUUAAUUUAUUUGGCUGAAAAAUUAAUUUAUAUUGAUGUAGAUUGUUUCAGUGAUAUAUAUGAGCUGUUUGUUGCGGAUAGUUUUGUUUAUGGGGUUCAAUAAAAAUUUUAGGCACAGUUGACUUGAUGCUAAAUAGUUAUUGGGUUUUGUUUGAGAAAAUCUUUAGAUUUUUUGUUGUUAUUGUGAUUGACUUCUUUUCUUUUCUUUUUUUAAUCUUUUCUUUCGGUUGAUGCUGAUUACUAUCUUGAUUUAAUUGAUGAAGUCUUGAAACACACAUAUUUUUACUCAAUGAGGUGCUAUACUGAUAGCAUAUAUUAUUGAUAAAGCAGUGGAGCUUGUAGCACAAUCUAGAGAUAGUAAUGGUUAAUGGGUUAAUGUUGUGGUGUAACUGCCAAAACUCCCACUUGGAUCUUUAAGGGAGCCUUUGAGUUGACUGCACUGAAACAGGCAGAUGUUGCUGUCAUCAAUAAUGCAGAUUUGGUAUGCAACAUGACUGACCUUUUUUAGUUUCCCUUUUUAAUUUUGCUUCAAUGGACAUUGCUCAUUUUGAUCAGCAUGUAUUUAGUUACUUGAAUUCUGUCAGAUGCAAACUUACUUUUAAAACAUAAUUGGUAUGCUGUUGAAAUAAUUAAGGCUGAAGUUUAAUCUUGGGUUUGAGAUACAAUCAUAUCUAUGCAGAUAAUCUUUUACUCUAAUUUUUCCCCCUAAUAUUAAAGCAGCAUUUUUGUAGUUUUGCAUGUGUAAAUUUUAGGUUAUUUAUGAUGGAUAGGAUUUAAAAUUGUAGUGGUCAUUGAUCUGAGCAUUUGUUUGAUAUGAGUAGGAGGUUUAAAAUUUUAGAACUUUUACCUUGGUCUUUUCAUAAUUUUUCUUGGAGUCAAAGUGGUGUGCGGUUAGUUUUGAGAAUAUUAUUUCCUUAGGAAUUUCUAGAUAUUGAUAUGAAAGCCAUUUUAGUAGUUGUGUCUCUAUUUAAUGAUACCUUUAUUUGCUUAUAUCCCACUUUGAACUCCUUUUUCUUUUUUUUAAAAUUAUUAGUUUAUUACAUACCUUGUGUUGGUUUUAAAACUAACGCUUGACGGUUAGUUUUAUGUCAUUAGUGUGUUACCUAAGCUUUUGAUGAUAGAUGUGUCUUUUUCUACUAACAGUUUCUAAUGGAUUUACUCAAAAAAAAAAAAAAAAAAAAAAAAAAACAGAUUAUACUUGGAUUAGCAGCCUAUAUACUUCUCUUUAUUUGUUGUGAUUGGUGACAUUAAGUAACAACCACAUCUUAACAUCAAUUAUAUACUAUUUUGUUCUACCAAAUAAAAUUACUGAUUUGAGUUGUCUUUCUUUGUCAUAGGGGUUAGUUAAUAUAUUGAUUGGCUUUCAUUAUGUCACUAUUGAUACCAAACUAAAGGUCAUAUAUUCUUCCUGGUAUUUUUUUUUUAAUUUAAAAUUUUGUGCGUCAAAUAUUGUUAAAUAUAGUAUAUAUUUUCUUUAACAAAUAUGAUCUAGGUUUGGGUAUUUUCUUGAGGCAUUUGGAUUAGAUAAGGUAUAAAGGUUAGAUUUGGUUAUGUUUUAUAUAUUUAUUUGUGUUAGAUUUUGUUUGGUUCACCAAACCAUGUGACUUGCUUCAAAAUUGUACAUUCCGUGUGUAAUGCAAUUGAGAAGGAUACAUAUUAAGUCAACUUUACAUACAUACUAAACAAACUGUAGGUAUGGAAAUAAACAUUACCUUUAUGAACUGUAAGUGCAAUAGAGAUAAUUACCAUUGCAAUAAACAUUAUCAUUAUUUGUGUUGCCUUUGAUUCCAUUUGGAAUUCAUUGAUUUUUUGUAGAUAAGCUUUGGCUUUGCUGAAAAUUUUUUCAACUAAUAAAAUGGUCCAACCUGAUAUGAUCUUUUGUACUAAUUUCUUAAAUAAGUGAUUGUGUCUAAUGUUUCACCAAAUUAUUUGACCCAUGGAAGAUUGGGGCUAUAUCAGAUCUCUAUGUUGGUGUUUCAGCUCUGCAUGAAGCUGCAAGCAAGUUCAUUUUAUAGAUAUCAUAUCAUAUGCCAAGGCUUGGCAUCUUCAAGGGAUUUUUUUUUUCCCUGUUGGAUCUAAAUGCAAAAAAUGUAUUAUUGCAUAGUUAUAUUUCUUUUCUACCUGCUGUAGUGUGCAUAUAUUGCACAUUUUUAUUUGAAAUUGUUACUGCUUUCUAGGCAAAGAUUUUUGUAUGGCUAUGAUUCAAGAAGUGGUACAAAUUCAAAAUAUUGUUAUCUUCCUUCA